Mustela lutreola (European mink) is the source of this 819-nucleotide long non-coding RNA. RefSeq lists it as uncharacterized. The record is from RefSeq and is a predicted model, not a curated record. The transcript is spliced from 2 exons. NCBI's taxonomy places the organism in Eukaryota, Metazoa, Chordata, Mammalia, Carnivora, Mustelidae.
GUCAUUGAGAGGGAGCUCUGUAAAGAUCUGGGGAAAAUCUGUCCAGUGGAAGGGAAUAGCAAGUGCCAAGGUACUGGCAGGCAUGAGCUCUUUGCCCUUACAAAUGGAAACUCCCAGUAUCAUGGAGGACACCUGUUCAAGAAAGAAGAAGAAAGGUUUCUGAUGGUGUCUCAGUUACCAGAAUACAGAUGGUGAACUGCAGCGGUCACUAGCCUCAUUCCCUCCCAACCGCAAACCCAGCAGUAUGCAAUGUGUGUGGGGAGCCUGGAACCCAGCAUGGCCUCUCCCACUGGUGACAGAAGCAAAGCCCAUGACCUGUAGUUUCAGAAAGAGACCUGACUCUCCUGAAGGUCAAAGCCAACAUCUACACUUUGUAAUGCUCUUUUGUAACAUCUAAUUUAUUCUGCCACAGUUCAGAGUUGGUAGUAUGGAUCCUGGCUAAGGUUACUUCUGCAAAUCAUUUCCAGGAAAAUGGAUUGUGCAUCUAAGAUAAGGGGAUUCAGGUGAAUGUUUAACUCAUUUGGACAAGCCUGUUAUCUUCAAUUUAUUUGGCAAUAUCCUUUUUGUACACAGUUGUAUGCACAAGUGCAAUGAUUUCUAAUUAUCCUUAUCUAUUCAAUACAUGACUUAACAAUUGGGGCAACUUUUUCCUGUUCAUUUAUUUGUAUCAUGACAAUCCUGAGGACAAUAAUACUGUAUACAUGAACAAAUAUUCAGUGAUUCAGAUUUCUUAUUAAUUCCAAUUGGGCAUUCUCCAUGUCAAAUGUGGUUAACUUCAUUAUAAAAAUGUACCCACAAAUAAAUAUUGCCUAAAAAUAA